RNAcentral lists this ribosomal RNA (295 nucleotides) under uncultured microorganism. Its description in RNAcentral is "partial 16S ribosomal RNA". It matches the Rfam family "Bacterial small subunit ribosomal RNA", at positions 505 to 796 of the family's 1533-position model. The record is from RNAcentral.
GUGCCAGCAGCCGCGGUAAUACGUAAGGGCGGCCAAGCGUUAUCCGGAAUUAUUGGGCGUAAAGAGCUCGUAGGCGGUUUGUCGCGUCUGCUGUGAAAUCCCGAGGCUCAACCUCGGGCCUGCAGUGGGUACGGGCAGACUAGAGUGCGGUAGGGGAGAUUGGAAUUCCUGGUGUAGCGGUGGAAUGCGCAGAUAUCAGGAGGAACACCGAUGGCGAAGGCAGAUCUCUGGGCCGUAACUGACGCUGAGGAGCGAAAGGGUGGGGAGCAAACAGGCUUAGAUACCCUGGUAGUCC